This 76-nucleotide transfer RNA is filed under the name Mesorhizobium sp. M8A.F.Ca.ET.021.01.1.1. Its description in RNAcentral is "tRNA-Lys". It matches the Rfam family "tRNA". From Rfam's summary of the family: Transfer RNA (tRNA) molecules are approximately 80 nucleotides in length. Their secondary structure includes four short double-helical elements and three loops (D, anti-codon, and T loops). Lineage: Bacteria; Pseudomonadati; Pseudomonadota; Alphaproteobacteria; Hyphomicrobiales; Phyllobacteriaceae. The record is from RNAcentral.
GCGCCGGUAGCUGAGUGGCUUAGCGGCGGGCUCUUAACCCGCGACAAGGUGAGUUCGAUCCUCAGCCGGCACACCA